This 325-nucleotide ribosomal RNA is filed under the name uncultured Lactobacillus sp. Its description in RNAcentral is "bacterial SSU rRNA". It matches the Rfam family "Bacterial small subunit ribosomal RNA", at positions 209 to 524 of the family's 1533-position model. Lineage: Bacteria; Bacillati; Bacillota; Bacilli; Lactobacillales; Lactobacillaceae. The record is from RNAcentral.
CUGCUAUCACUCUUGGGAUGGACCUGCGGUGCAUUAGCUAGUUGGUAGGGGUAACGGCCUACCAAGGCGAUGAUGCAUAGCCGAGUUGAGAGACUGAUCGGCCACAUUGGGACUGAGACACGGCCCAAACUCCUACGGGAGGCAGCAGUAGGGAAUCCUCCACAAUGGACGCAAGUCUGAUGGAGCAACGCCGCGUGAGUGAAGAAGGGUUUCGGCUCGUAAAGCCCUGUUGUUGGUGAAGAAGGACAGGGGUAGUAACUAACCUUUGUUUGACGGUAAUCAAUUAGAAAGUCACGGCUAACUACGUGCCAGCAGCCGCGGUAAU